AACCAACACCUCAAGUGGUCAGGAUGAUUAUUGGGGCCUAAAGCAUCCGUAGCCGGCUUUGUAAGUUUUCGGUUAAAUCCAUGCGCUCAACGUAUGGGCUGCCGGCAAUACUGCAAAGCGAGGGAGUGGGAGAGGUAGACGGUACUCGGUAGGAAGGGGUAAAAUCCUUUGAUCUAUUGAUGACCACCUGUGGCGAAGGCGAUCUACCAGAACACGUCCGACGGUGAGGGAUGAAAGCUGGGGGAGCAAACCGGAUUAGAUACCCGGGUAGUCCCAGCUGUAAACUAUGCAAACCCAGUGAUGCAUUGGCUUGAUGCCAAUGCAGUGCUGCAGGGAAGCCGUUAAGUUUGCCGCCUGGGAAGUACGUACGCAAGUAUGAAACUUAAAGGAAUUGGCGGGGGAGCACCACAAGGGGUGAAGCCUACGGUUCAAUUGGAGUCAACGCCAGAAAUCUUACCCGGAGAGACAGCAGAAUGAAGGUCAAGCUGAAGACUUUACCAGACAAGCUGAGAGGUGGUGCAUGGCCGUCGCCACACUCGUGCCGUGAGAUGUCCUGUUAAGUCAGGUAACGAGCGAGAUCCCUGCCUCUAGUUGCCACCACUACUCUCAGGAGUAGUGGGGCGAAUUACGCGGGACCGCCGUAGUUAAUACGGAGGAAGGAAGGGGCCACGCCAGGUCAGUAUGCCCCGAAACUAUGGGGCCACACGCGGGCCGCAAUGGUAACGACAAUGUGUUCCGAAUCCGAAAGGAGGAGGUAAUCCUCAAACGUUACCCCAGUUAUGACUGAGGGCUGCAACUCGCCCUCACGAAUAUGGAAUCCUUAGUAACUGCGUCUCACUAUCGCGCGGUGAAUACGUUCCUGCUCCU
This 867-nucleotide ribosomal RNA is filed under the name uncultured archaeon. Its description in RNAcentral is "SSU rRNA". It matches the Rfam family "Archaeal small subunit ribosomal RNA", at positions 474 to 1337 of the family's 1478-position model. The record is from RNAcentral.